This 2155-nucleotide ribosomal RNA is filed under the name Golovinomyces cichoracearum. RNAcentral describes it as "SSU rRNA". The stretch from base 1046 to 2155 matches the Rfam family "Bacterial small subunit ribosomal RNA". The record is from RNAcentral. Lineage: Eukaryota; Fungi; Ascomycota; Leotiomycetes; Helotiales; Erysiphaceae.
AACUAAUUGAGUUUGAUGAUGGCUCUGAAUGAACGCUAUCUCAAGUGCUUGACACAUGCUAAUCUAACGUCUAAUUUAAAUAUUAACCAAAGAAUAUAUCUUUUAUAUAAUUUACACUAAUAUAUUUUAUAUAUCUUUUGAGAGGAUUUUUUUAUUAGAAGUGGUGUACAGGUGAGUAAAGGAUAUUUUGGCUACCUUAAAGUGAGGUUAAUAAAUGCCUUAUGGUUUUUAAUCUGCCUGAUGAGAUCUAAUAUAAGAUCUUUGCCUAUGCGCAAACUUCGGUGUGUGCUGAGCAGUAGCUAAUGUUUCCUUCUCAAGGAAGUUGAAGGAGAGCUCCUCCAGAGAGGCCUUUAGACAGAAUAAAAAAAAAGGAAAUAACGAAUAUUAAGAGGGCUUUUUAAUGGUAAGGGUUGAGCUCUAGCUAGGCUAGAUCUUGCUAUGCUCUAUAGCUAGCAAUAAUCAGAGAGUGCUAGCUUUAAAAUGCUAGCGCUUAUGAACUAGAGGAGCAUGCCACUCUUAAAAAGGCGCUGUUUUUAUUUUUUUCCGCUUUAAGAGGACAAUUAAUAUUUCGGAUAGGUAGUAGUUAAAGUAAUGGUUUGACUAGCUUAUAAUUCCGUAAUCGUAACUGAGAGGUUUAUCGAUCACAUUGGGUCUGAAAAAACCCCAAUACGUAUAGUACAGCAGUGGGGAAUAUUGGUCAAUAGCCUAACGGCUGAACCAGCAACUUGGGAGUAUGUAUAGCUUUUUACUAAGCUAAUAUCACAUUAAAUGGUUGUGUAUAAACCAUUUAUCAGGUAGAGAGAAAUGACUCUACAAGACUAGAGGUGCUUAUCUUGCUAGAGCUAAUCUGGGUCCAAAAAGGCUCAGCUAACCUCUUGCAAUGGUUUGUUUUACCAUGAUCUAAAAAUAUAAAAUAUCUUUUGCUAAGCGUAAGGCAAUAGUGUUUUUUUUAGUUCUUGGUUAUUAAAACUUUUCUGGGUGUUUACAACAAUUUAAUAUAGUCGUUGCCUACUAAGACUAAAAUUUUUUUUAAACUUUACUUUGAUAUAUCGAUUUACUCGAAUAAAAUACUAGGUAGGCCAGGCUAUCUUAAUGUAAAGUGUUAAGAUUUCUCUAAUAUAGGAAUUAGAAUUGAUUAUGACAUAGGCCUAUCUACAAGUCUUGACCAAAAUACGUGCCAGCAGUCGCGGUAAUACGUAAAAGACUAGUGUUAUUCAUCUUUACCAGGUUUAAAGGGUACCUAGACGGUAAAAAUCGUCUUAGAUAAGAUACGAUUAUACUAGAGUUAUAUAUAAGGAGGUGAGUAUUUAUGGAGUGCGAGAGUUGAAAUUUGUUCAUACCAUAAGGACUGGUAAAGGCGAAAGCAACCUUUUAUCUAAUAACUGACGUUGAGGGACGAAGGCUCGGGUAGCGAACAGGAUUAGAUACCCUGGUAGUCCAAGCAGAAAAUGAUGAAUGCUAUAGGUUAGAUUUUUAUUUAGUCUAUAAAUUAAAAUGUAAGCAUUCCACCUCAAGAGUAAUGUGGCAACGCAGGAACUGAAAUCAUUAGACCGUUUACUGAAACCAGUAGUGAAGUAUGUUAUUUAAUUCGUAGGUACGCGAAAAACCUUACCACAACUUGAAUAUUAUCUAUCAGGAUAUUACAAGCGUUGCACGGCUGUCUUCAGUUAAUGUCGUGAGAUGCCGGUUAACUCCUUUAAAUUAACGGAAACCCUUGCUUUAAUUAUCUUAAGAAAUAAAGCAGUUCACCAUCUAAAUCGGAUAUGAUCACAGGGGGCAAGACAAGUCAUCAUGGCCUAAAUGUUGUGGGCGAUAGACGUGCCACAUAUUCCUAUACAAAAUGAUGCGAUAAUGCGAAUUGGAGCUAAUCAUCUAAAGUAGGAUAUAAUAAGGAUUGUAGUCUGAAACUCGACUAUAUGAAUAAGGAAUUACUAGUAAUCGUGAAUAAGAACGUCACGGUGGAUUUAAUCUCAUUUGGGUACUAACUACUCGUCAGGCGCUGAAAAAAGUGUGUGCAAUAAGUUUGGUUUUUUUUAUAUUUUUUAUUCUAGAUAAUUAGUUCUAGUUAUCUAUAAGGAAAAUCUUCGUAUGCGUGACUUUAAUUAGUGUUAAGUCGAAAUAUGGUUCGUGUAGUGGAAGUUGCACGGGAUUUAUU